CAAUAUUCUUGGAGAAACCGGAUAGCGAGUUACAUAAGAACCCACUUAAAUAAGAACCCUUAACUUAAGAUAAAUUACAAAUUUCCCCAAAUAAACCCUCUUUCCCAAACCCACAAAAAAAAGGGUCCGAACCGGGUCGCGAAAAAAACCAACGGAAACGUCAUAUGAAUUAUGAAAACGGGCAGCACCGACCGCCAUAACGGAACCACGAUCUCUGACAAUUCUCACUCUUCGUCAGAUCUCGCUCGUUCUCUGAUAGCCUAAUUUUCCGAAGAAGAACGAGCACAACUGUUUAUCCAAACUCCGAUUCCAAAACCCUAGAAUCCAACGUUCCCGUCCGAUAUCAGGUUCCAAUCACCGGAUACAGUUUCUUGCAUUUUCCGAGCGUCCUCUUCAGCUGUCACAGUAAACGCGGUACUUCGUUCCUCAUCCUGAUCGAUCUGUUUCCACAUUUGGCUUCGAUUUCGCAGUGUGAUCGGUUGCGAGGUUUUAGUUGACUUUCAUGCUGUUUGAAGAAAUUCGCGAGUUAGUUGUUUGAGAAGUGAGAAAUGCAGCGUGCUCCAGUUACUGUUGAGGAACAGUUGUUGCAAAAAGCGAUUAACGAAGAGUGUCCAUGGGAGAAUCUACCGAAGCGGAUUCAAGCUACUCUUUCUACCAAAGACGAAUGGCACCGAAGGAUAAUCGAAUGCUGUGUAAAGAAGAGGCUUCAAUGGAAUAGCUGUUUUGCCCGGAAAGUUUGUAAAGAAAGUGAAUAUUAUGAAGAUAUGAUGCGUUACUUACGGAGGAAUCUUGGUCUGUUUCCUUAUCAUUUGGCGGAGUAUGUUUGCCGUGUAAUGAGGGUGUCUCCUUUCAGAUAUUAUUGUGAUAUGAUUUUUGAAGUCAUGAGAAACGAGCAACCUUAUGACAGCAUCCCAAAUUUUAGUGCAGCAGAUGCUUUAAGACUUGCAGGAAUUGGGAGAAAUGAAUUUAUUGAUAUAAUGAACAAGUGCAGAUCUAAGAAAAUCAUGUGGAAACUGAACAAAUCAAUUGCAAAAGAACUCUUGCCUACACAACCUGUAGAUUUUCCUAUUGAAUCUUGGUGGGGAGUUUGUCUGGUGAACUUUACUUUGGAAGAAUUUAAGAAACUCUCUGAAGAGGAAGUUGCCACUAUAGACAAAAUAUGUAAGGAGGAAGCAAAUUUGUAUAUCCUGUUUGAUCCUGAAGUUAUAAAGGGUCUCUAUAGACGUGGAUUGAUCUAUUUUGAUGUUCCAGUGUAUCCCGAGGAUCGGUUCAAAGUUUCAAGGCUUGAAGGUUUUGUAUCCAACAGGGAGCAGUCUUAUGAAGAUCCUAUUGAAGAGUUAUUGUAUGCAGUUUUUGUUGUUUCAAAUGAAAAUGCAUCUGUUGCGGAGUUGGCAACAACCCUACAGGCUGACCUGUCACAACUGCAGGCUGCUGCAUCAUUUGUAUGUCGAUUGGGAUGGGCAACAAAAGUCAUUGAUCCAUCCUCUAUUCUUCAAGAUGCAAGUAUACCUGGGUCUCCAAGAAGUGCAGUUAGUGAUGAAGAUGUUUCUCUUGCUAGUCAUGGUUUUGACAAUAUCCAUAUUGAUAAUGAUAUUCAAGGGGAUGCUUCGGGUUCAAGCAACCAUGGUCCUCGUUCGGCCUAUAUGCGUGUUGCCUUCAUAGUUGAUGCCAAUAUAACAUCCUAUCUUAUGAUGGGUUCUGUUUCACCAGGUCUGAAAUCUCAUGCUGUUACGCUCUAUGAAGCGGGUAAAUUAGGUCAUGCCAGCAUUUCUGAUCUUUGCAAGGAUCUUAGCACUCUGGAAGGUGCAAAAUUUGAGGGAGAACUGCAGGAAUUUGCCAAUCACGCAUUCAGCCUGCGUUGUGUAUUAGAGUGUCUACAAUCAGGCGGAGUUGCUUCUGAUGUGAAAGUCGAGGAAGGACAUGAUAAGAUGAAUAUGGCUACUCCAAGCAAUGGUGAACCAAGCUCUCUUACAGCUGAAAUAUCUUUGUCUGAAAAACUAAGAGACUCUGGGGUUACAGAAGCUGAAAUAAAUAAUGAUGAUUUAUUGAGUUUAGAUUUGGAGAAGUCUGCCGAGGCUUCUGUUUCCUAUGAUGUCGUUCCUAGUGAUGGAACCAGUUCUAUUGCAUUGGAUGGCAAUGACAUACUGGAUUCCAGUAACGAUGAAAAUCUCCAAAACAACGAGAAACUAAUGGUUGAAGGGUCAUAUGUUGGAACAGACAUGCUAAAGAGGAAAAAAAAAUAUCGUGUAGAUAUUCUCCGCUGUGAAAGCUUGGCUUCUCUUUCACCAGCAACCCUUGAUCGUUUGUUUCUUCGUGACUAUGAUAUAGUUGUGUCCAUAUUGCCUCUUCCUCAUUCAUCAGUUCUUCCUGGACCUGGAGGUCCUGUUCAUUUUGGUCCUCCCUCGUAUUCUUCUAUGAGUCCUUGGAUGAAAUUGGUAUUAUAUUCAACUGUACAAAGUGGGCCUCUGUCAGUUGUUCUGAUGAAAGGACAGUGUCUGCGCUUCCUUCCUGCUCCAUUGGCUGGCUGUGAGAAAGCUCUCAUAUGGUCUUGGGAUGGUUCCACGGUAGGAGGGUUAGGAGGGAAGCUUGAAGGAAAUUUAGUGAAGGGAAGUAUACUUUUGCAUUGUUUAAAUUCACUUCUUAAGCAUUCGGCUGUGCUGGUGCUGCCUCUCAGUAAGUUUGAUCUUGAUAAAUCUGGAAAAUUGGUUACUAUGGAUAUCCCUUUGCCCUUAAAGAACGCCGAUGGCUCAAUUGCUCCUGUUGAAAAAGAGUUAGGAAUAUCCGAAGAGGAAAGUUCAAAGCUGAAGUCUCUAUUGAGCGAUUUGGCAGACACGAUGGAACUGUGGACAGUUGGAUACAUCCGCUUACUUAGAUUAUUUAAUGAUAGAGAGCCUGAGCAGUUUUCACCUGAAGAAAAGUAUGAUUGGGUUCCGUUGAGUGUUGAGUUUGGGAUGCCAUUAUUUAGCCCAACGAUGUGUAAUGAUAUAUGUAGAAGGGUGGUGUCAUCUGAAUUGCUUCAAUCUGGAUCAUUUGGUGAGCACCAUCAUGCAGUGCAAAGCUUAAGGAGAAAAUUACAUGACAUUUCUUCAGAGUACCAAGCAACAGGGCCUGCUGCUAAGGUACUUUACCAGAAGGAACAAUUUAAGGAAUCCUCACGACAGCUUAUGAACUAUGCUAGUGGAAGAUGGAAUCCACUUGUGGACCCUUCGUCUCCCAUUUCAGGGGCUUCAAGUGAGCAUCAAAGGUUAAAACUUGCAAAUCGACAACGAUGCAGAUCUGAAGUUUUAAGCUUUGAUGGCAGUAUUCUUAGAUCUUAUGCCUUAGCUCCUGUUUACGAAGCUGCCACAAGGCCCAUUGAAGAAGGCACUCAAGCCAACACGAUAAAAGCUGAAGCAGAUGAUAAUGAUAGCAAAGAAGUAAUUCUUCCUGGAGUAAAUCUUCUUUUUGAUGGUUCUGAGUUGCACCCGUUUGACAUAGCUGCCUGCCUCCAGGCACGUCAACCUAUUUCCUUAAUAGCAGAAGCAGCAGCUGCCUCGGCAUCUUUAGCAAUCAAAUAGUUCUGCAGUUGCUAUAGACUACAGCAUUGUGAUAUCUAUACAUGCAUGGCAAUGGUAGGGAUUGCUAGGGCUAGUUUGUUUUCAUCUUCAAGCUUGUUGGUCAAGCUUGGCCCACAAAGUUGGGCUCAGAUUGAAGAUUUAUCACUGUUGUCCUUGAGGCUUAUUGGCCCUGGUUUUCUAUUUGAAUCAGGGGUGAAUGAGUUGAUGCCCCUAUGGAUAUAUGCCAAACCAGCUGCCUGAAAUAUUUUUCUUUUAUCUACUUUGUUCCGAAGUUUUUAUCCAUUCUUGUGCAAUCUCCUGGUAUAAAAUACAGUACAAUCUUGUUUAUAAAUUAGGUUUAAUUUGUUUUGGAUUUCACUUGACCAGGAGAUUCAAAACAGUUAAUUGUGAACUUGUGAAAAAGUGGAAAUAUGUAAUCUUCGUUCAACAAUUCUUGAAUAGUAUGAUUGGUGAGGCUUGAGAUAUCUUUUAGAUCACGUGUCAUCGUCAGAAGCUUUUACUUGACAGUUGAAAUCAACUUCUCCUAUCACAAAGAACUCUCAAUCAUCCCAAAAUUCGUUUGACUUAUGGAGAAUUUAUGGAGUUGUUAUCUUCAAAGUUGUUUCAUCAGAGAUAAGUCCACAAGAGGAUCCUCUGGAUGCACCAUCAAUGUUGUAUUUAAUUCAAUAUUUUGGAGGAUCAAUCUAGUUAACCUGAGUGAAUUUGAGAGCAGUUGGAGCAUGAUAACUAGCACUAAAAAAUUGAUAGUUUUAAAUUUUUGAAUACAAUAAUACACACUCCCUCCCUCCUAUAUUAUAAACAUUACCUUUUUAGAUUUA
RNA transcript from Lathyrus oleraceus (garden pea), 4375 nucleotides. RefSeq lists it as uncharacterized. The record is from RefSeq and is a predicted model, not a curated record. The transcript has 11 exons. Lineage: Eukaryota; Viridiplantae; Streptophyta; Magnoliopsida; Fabales; Fabaceae.